Molecule: non-coding RNA, 26 nt
Filed under: Homo sapiens (human)
Lineage: Eukaryota; Metazoa; Chordata; Mammalia; Primates; Hominidae
Source: RNAcentral
UGCCACAGGGUGUGUGUGACAUAGAA